This 72-nucleotide transfer RNA is filed under the name Marmota monax (woodchuck). Its description in RNAcentral is "tRNA.Ala". The record is from RNAcentral. Lineage: Eukaryota; Metazoa; Chordata; Mammalia; Rodentia; Sciuridae.
GAAGUUGUGGCUCAGUUGGUAGAGCACUUGCAUAGCAUGUGUGAGGCCCUGAAUUCAAUUCUCAGCACUGCA